UCCCUGGUGGCUCAGAUGGUAAAGAAUCUGCCUGCAAUGCAGAAGACCUGGGUUUGAUCCCUGGGUUGGGAA
This 72-nucleotide transfer RNA is filed under the name Bos taurus (domestic cattle). It matches the Rfam family "tRNA". Rfam says of the family: Transfer RNA (tRNA) molecules are approximately 80 nucleotides in length. Their secondary structure includes four short double-helical elements and three loops (D, anti-codon, and T loops). Lineage: Eukaryota; Metazoa; Chordata; Mammalia; Artiodactyla; Bovidae. The record is from Rfam by way of RNAcentral. RNAcentral also lists the same sequence under 7 other names.